UACAGAGGUCCCGAGCGCUGUUCGGAUUCACUGGGCGUAAAGGGUGCGUAGGUGGUGAGGUAAGUCGGAUGUGAAAGCUCGGAGCUCAACUCCGAAAUGGCAUUGGAAACUACCUUGCUCGAGGGUUGGAGGGGGGACUGGAAUUCUCGGUGUAGCAGUGAAAUGCGUAGAUAUCGAGAGGAACACCAGUGGCGAAGGCGAGUCCCUGGACAACUCCUGACACUGAGGCACGAAAGCUAGGGGAGCAAACAGG
This 253-nucleotide ribosomal RNA is filed under the name uncultured bacterium. RNAcentral's name for it is "partial 16S ribosomal RNA". It matches the Rfam family "Bacterial small subunit ribosomal RNA", at positions 524 to 776 of the family's 1533-position model. The record is from RNAcentral.